This is a long non-coding RNA of Bombyx mori (domestic silkworm), 1998 nucleotides long. RefSeq lists it as uncharacterized. NCBI's taxonomy places the organism in Eukaryota, Metazoa, Arthropoda, Insecta, Lepidoptera, Bombycidae. The record is from RefSeq and is a predicted model, not a curated record. The transcript has 2 exons.
UCUUAUUAUAUGAUAGCUUUCAGGAUGACAGGAUCAGGUCAGCUCAUAGCAUAGCAUCAAACUAGCCAACUCACGCACUGUCUCGACUGCCUUCAACGCGAUGUGUUAUUCGACCUCUCCAUAUUUUAUGUCUUCUUGGCCAUAGCUAACGGUGUUAUUUUCCGAGAACAUAAAUAAUCUCCUAGUUUUAUUUUAUUUUUUUAUUGCUUAUUUGGGUGGACGAGCUCACAACCUACCUGGUGUUAAGUGGUUACUGGAGCCCAUAGACAUCUACAACGUAAAUGUGCCACCCACCUUGAGAUAUAAGUUCUAAGGUCUCAAUUAUAGUUUCAACGGCUGCCCUACCCAUCAAACCGAAACGCAUUAUUGCUUCACGGCAGAAAUAGGCAGGGUGGUGGUACUUACCCGCGCGAACUCACAAAAGGUCCUACUACCAGUAAGCACCAGUAGUUACCAAAAAAUCUGGAUUAAUGUGUUCCCUACAUUCAUUACAAAAUUAAAUUUUACCUUUAAGCUUUUAUAUCCGCACUACACGUACCUACGUAUGCAAAUUUACAGACGCUAAGCCUUACAGGGCUUUCACAAAGAAGUUCAAAGUUAAACCUGUCCAAUAACUUCAGCUCUUAUAUAACCUUCAUUUAAACUGUCAACACAGAGCUAUCGAGUUCGGUAGCGCUGCGGAAGCGAUUUCUAUUGUCUACGAUGAGUCAACUUUCUACGUUGUGUUGAACCGUUCUAUGGAAAACGUUGUAAGAACCACAUGACUAGCCCGUCGUGCUCUCAAGCUUCGAUUGCAGUUACCGCUGCUUCAGGGAAUCGGAAAAUUUUGUUAAAUUGCUGCAGAAACUAACUGGGAACCAAAUCAAAGCAUUUUGGGCAGCAAACUGGAGUGCAUCAUUGUUUGCAACUUCAACAGAUAUCUUCACAGGUCAUGUUUUCAGAAUAUGGUAGCGCUGAUUAGCCGACAAACACGUCUCUUCCCGAACUAGACAGAGCAUACACAAAGAGUUUUUAACUAGUGUUUAUGUGCAGAUGAACUGUACUGUCUCUAGGAGGACGUUACUUAACUAGUACAACUUGGAACGGAAAAAAAAACUGGUAAAAUAAAUUCAGAAAUCUACAUUUAAAAUAAAGUGUUCCGCGCUGUCGCCCACCGUGAUAAGGUGUAAUACAAAUUCGAACAACAAUAAAUUCAGCUGAGAUCCGUUGGAGGCGUGUCGUGAAUACAGGACCCUCCAGAUGAAAGAUCACCAAGAAUAAUGGCAGAUCUUAUCUUGAUUCUUACGCACAAAAAAUUCCGAUAAUAUUUCACGGAACUUACGUCGUGAGGGUUCUUCGGUCUGACAAGCAAAAUCCACGUGAUGGUAGGUGCACGAUGGUACAACAGCAAUGCCAGUGGCACAGCCAAGCCGUUGCCUACUCCGAAGACUGUCCUCAUUAAGCUUUGUUUCGAGUAAGACAUGUCGUGGCGCUCAGGAAAACAUGUAUGCAAAUGAAAUUAAAAACGAAAGCUGGAUACUUAAUGUGUGUAUAAGCACACACAAAAUAUGAGUAUGAAACGAACUUUAACCGUAACGACUUUGACGCAGUCUUAUAAGAAUGAGGAAGGUAGAUACCGAAUAACUCUAACCAAAGUUACUUGUUGAAGAUAAUAGGAUUGUAACGAGUCUCAAGGUACCGCUUCCAUCAGAUUAGAUACGUUCGAUGAAACACUUCAGUCUCGUUCCGUGGAUAUUAUUUGUUUUGUUGUGUUAUUGGCUUUACUUAUAUUGGCUCUUAACACGGUUGGUAGUUUGCUAUGUAAAAUUUGUACAAAACAUCUGAAAUGUUUAGGCUUCCCGUUUCAUGACUCUGAAGGUUUUCUUUAUAUUCCGCUUCUUUAGCAUGACGAGUACUUCGGUAACAAACAAAAUAUACCAUAUUUGAAAACCAAUGACUUCUCUUAUGAAGUAUUUGUAUUUCUAAAUUAAACAACAUUAAUAAAACCUUUAAAGAUCA